UCCUCACACCCUGGAAUUUCCAGACUCUGAUU
Molecule: non-coding RNA, 32 nt
Filed under: Mus musculus (house mouse)
Lineage: Eukaryota; Metazoa; Chordata; Mammalia; Rodentia; Muridae
Source: RNAcentral